UGGAAUGUUUAAGGAAUGGUCUAGAUUGG
Molecule: non-coding RNA, 29 nt
Filed under: Mus musculus (house mouse)
Lineage: Eukaryota; Metazoa; Chordata; Mammalia; Rodentia; Muridae
Source: RNAcentral